CGAACGAGUUCUCGUUGAUGAUCGGUGCUUGCACCGAGAUUCAACAUGGAACGAGUGGCGGACGGGUGAGUAACACGUGGGUAAUGCCCUUAAGUGGGGGAUAACAUUUGGAAACAGAUGAAUACCGCAUAGAUCCAAGAACCGCAUGGUUCUUGGCUGAAAGAUGGCGUAAGCUAUCGCUUUUGGAUGGACCCGCGGCGUAUUAGCUAGUUGGUGAGGUAAUGGCUCACCAAGGCGAUGAUACGUAGCCGAACGGUUGAUCGGCCACAUUGGGCUGAGACACGGCCCAAACUCCUACGGGAGGCAGCAGUAGGGAAUCUUCCACAAUGGACGCAAGUGAUGGAGCAACGCCGCGUGAGUGAAGAAGGCUUUCGGGUCGUAAAACUCUGUUGUUGGAGAAGAAUGGUCGGCAGAGUAACUGUUGCCGGCGUGACGGUAUCCAACCAGAAAGCCACGGCUAACUACGUGCCAGCAGCCGCGGUAAUACGUAGGUGGCAAGUUAUCCGGAUUUAUUGGGCGUAAAGCGAGCGCAGGCGGUUUUUUAAGUCUGAUGUGAAAGCCCUCGGCUUAACCGAGGAAGCGCAUCACUGGGAAACUUGAGUGCAGAAGAGGACAGUGGAACUCCAUGUGUAGCGGUGAAAUGCGUAGAUAUAUGGAAGAACACCAGUGGCGAAGGCGGCUCUGGUCUGUAACUGACGCUGAGGCUCGAAAGCAUGGGUAGCGAACAGGAUUAGAUACCCUGGUAGUCCAUGCCGUAAACGAUGAAUUAGGUGUUGGAGGGUUUCCGCCCUUCAGUGCCGCAGCUAACGCAUUAGAGC
This 818-nucleotide ribosomal RNA is filed under the name Lacticaseibacillus casei. RNAcentral's name for it is "bacterial SSU rRNA". It matches the Rfam family "Bacterial small subunit ribosomal RNA", at positions 63 to 866 of the family's 1533-position model. Lineage: Bacteria; Bacillati; Bacillota; Bacilli; Lactobacillales; Lactobacillaceae. The record is from RNAcentral.